Molecule: ribosomal RNA, 668 nt
Filed under: uncultured Hebeloma
Lineage: Eukaryota; Fungi; Basidiomycota; Agaricomycetes; Agaricales; Cortinariaceae
Description: eukaryotic LSU rRNA
Rfam family: 5.8S ribosomal RNA (bases 288-441)
Source: RNAcentral
AAGUCGUAACAAGGUUUCCGUAGGUGAACCUGCGGAAGGAUCAUUAUUGAAUGAACUUGGUGUGGUUGUUGCUGGCUCUUUCGGGGGCAUGUGCACACCCAUCAUCCUCAUCUCUCCACCUGUGCACCUCUUGUAGAUUUGGAUUGACUUUCCGAGGCAACUCGGUCGGGAGGACUUGCUGGCAUUAGCUGGCUUUCCUUGCAUUUCCAAGUCUAUGUUUUUCAUAUACCCCAUUGAAUGUAACAGAAUGUAACAUAUUGGGCCUUUGUGCCUAUAAAAACUUAUACAACUUUCAGCAACGGAUCUCUUGGCUCUCGCAUCGAUGAAGAACGCAGCGAAAUGCGAUAAGUAAUGUGAAUUGCAGAAUUCAGUGAAUCAUCGAAUCUUUGAACGCACCUUGCGCUCCUUGGUAUUCCGAGGAGCAUGCCUGUUUGAGUGUCAUUAAAUUCUCAACUAUUAUCAGCUUUUGUUGAUAAUGGCUUGGAUAUGGGGGUUUAUUUUGCUGGCUUCUUCACAGAUUGUCAGCUCCCCUUAAAUGCAUUAGCCGGUGCCCCGCGUGGACUGUCUAUUGGUGUGAUAAUUAUCUACGCCGUGGACAUCUACAAUCAUAUGGGUUUGCACUGCUUCCAACCGUCUGUUUAUUCAGACAAUACAUGACAAUUGACCUC